GCCAGUGAGAGAGCAGCAAAACCUUUUGGCUGCAAUAUCUGUGGGCCUCCUCCUCCUUUGACCUGCAGGACCACAGAGUGAGACACAGAGAUGAAACGGUCUCAUCAGGUUCAUGUCACAGCAGAGUUCAGGGAAGGUCUCUUUCAUGACCCUCAAUCUGAGUCCUGAGAGAAGAGUGUGGAUAGAUGAGAAGCCCAGGUGAGGAGCGUGGACAGUGGGGUCAGCACGUGCACUGGCCCUGUGGUGGGGGACACGUCGGUGAGCUUGAGGAGCCAUGUGGCUGCAGCCCAGCCAGCACAGGCUUCACAAGCUAUUCUGUAGCUGGUCUGACCACAUCUCAGAAAGUCCACACUCUGGGACAAGGCUCGUGGAACCUCCAGUCUUUACGGAUCCCCCUCUUUUCAAGGAUGCUUCACCAUGAACAUGUCUGAAGAACCAAGGAAGUAAAACUGCAAAUGAGGUUA
Capra hircus (goat) is the source of this 464-nucleotide long non-coding RNA. RefSeq lists it as uncharacterized. NCBI's taxonomy places the organism in Eukaryota, Metazoa, Chordata, Mammalia, Artiodactyla, Bovidae. The transcript has 3 exons. The record is from RefSeq and is a predicted model, not a curated record.